Molecule: long non-coding RNA, 840 nt
Organism: Suricata suricatta (meerkat)
Lineage: Eukaryota; Metazoa; Chordata; Mammalia; Carnivora; Herpestidae
Exons: 5
Source: RefSeq, a predicted model, not a curated record
GUUCCCAGUUCCUGGCUCCCGAAAGCAGUGCUUCAAGGAAGACCAUUGUGCUUUUACCGAUUCCCAGAAAUGGCAUCGGGGCAUAUGUAUUUUUAAUUGUAAUAGAUAUUGCCAGAUCGCCUGACGAAGGCAUUUGGAGAACACCCUAAAAACCAGUUAUCUGGUGAAAGAAACAAGUUACACCUGGCUUCUGAAUUUCAAGAUCACCUUAUCCAGUGGUAAGGAAAGAAAGAUGUUUCUUUUACAAUUCUUGAUGGGCUCACCAGGUCUUCAGUGGGCAGACACUAUUUCUGAUGAGCGGUGACGAUUCUGCAAGCAGAGACCGUCUUCUAAUUUUAAAAACGAGGAAAAUAUAAAGAAUGAAUGUUUUGAUGUCUAGUUGGUUCCAGACCGGAGAAUGCGUCGUCUCCUCCCACUUUGUUUCUGCCUGAGGGAACAAGAGGAGGCGGUCUGUUUGGAGCUGGGAUGCUUGCCCAUUGCAUCAACUUACCUCCUGCAACUAUUUGUGAAGUCCUGCCAAGUCAGAGAGGCUUCUAAGAGACUUAAAAGGUGGUUUCUUAACCUUGAUCUGAAUAGCAGCUGGGCAAAAAGAGCCGAUGUUGGUUGUGGGUAUGGUAACCAUUUUGUUCUCUGCCAGAUUUUGUUUCUGUUGUUGUAAUAGAGAAGAAGAAAAUUAGCCAUCCACUUGUUUCAGUGAUUUCAGAAGGCUGCAUGGGAACUGACUGCAUGGGAAAGGUUAGGAGUUUCAAGACUUUUUUUUAUUUUAAAAUAUCAUUUUUUUCCCUGAAAAACAUGGUCAAUUGAUGGCAUUAUGAUUGUGCUCCUUACUAUAAAGAAUCA